GGCCGACGGCGGGCGCGGACGGCUGUGCCGACAGCAGGGCGGCGGCGCCGGCCGCGGCGGCGCGCGGGCGGGUUCCUCCCGCGUCGGCCA
Molecule: transfer RNA, 90 nt
Filed under: Streptomyces hiroshimensis
Lineage: Bacteria; Bacillati; Actinomycetota; Actinomycetes; Kitasatosporales; Streptomycetaceae
Description: tRNA-Cys
Source: RNAcentral